GGAAGUAAAAGUCGUAACAAGGUUUCCGUAGGUGAACCUGCGGAAGGAUCAUUACCGAGUUCAUGCCCGCGAGGGUAGACCUCCCACCCUGUGUUAAUAUUUAUACCCUGUUGCUUCGGCGGCUCGCUCGCGACCGUCAAAGACCCCCCCAACCCUGAAUGUUAGUGUCGUCUGAGUACUAUAUAAUAGUUAAAACUUUCAACAACGGAUCUCUUGGUUCUGGCAUCGAUGAAGAACGCAGCGAAAUGCGAUAAGUAAUGUGAAUUGCAGAAUUCAGUGAAUCAUCGAAUCUUUGAACGCACAUUGCGCCCCCUGGUAUUCCGGGGGGCAUGCCUGUUCGAGCGUCAUUUUCAACCCUCACGCCCCGCGUGGUCGUGGGCCCCGCCGGUGACGGCGGGCCCUAAAGCAAGUGGCAGCGCCCGUGGGCCCUGAACGUAGUAUAUCUCUCGUUACGGGUCCCCGCGGGCCGCCCGCCAGCAACCCCCCAUUUUUUCAGGUUGACCUCGGAUCAGGUAGGGAUACCCGCUGAACUUAAGCAUAUCAAUAA
Molecule: small RNA, 547 nt
Filed under: Cenangiopsis alpestris
Lineage: Eukaryota; Fungi; Ascomycota; Leotiomycetes; Helotiales; Cenangiaceae
Description: eukaryotic LSU rRNA
Rfam family: 5.8S ribosomal RNA (bases 194-347)
Source: RNAcentral